GUUAGGAUGAUUGAGUGGUCUAAGGCGUUAGACUCAAGUUCUAGUCUUUGUAAAAGGGUGUGGGUUCAAAUCCCACUCUUGGCA
RNAcentral lists this transfer RNA (84 nucleotides) under Ipomoea nil (Japanese morning glory). It matches the Rfam family "tRNA". Rfam says of the family: Transfer RNA (tRNA) molecules are approximately 80 nucleotides in length. Lineage: Eukaryota; Viridiplantae; Streptophyta; Magnoliopsida; Solanales; Convolvulaceae. The record is from Rfam by way of RNAcentral.